GACGUAGGGCGCGAGCGUUGUCCGGAUUUAUUGGGCGUAAAGAGCUCGUAGGCGGUUUGUCGCGUCGUCCGUGAAAACCUGCGGCUCAACUGCAGGCUGGCGGUCGAUACGGGCAGGCUGGAGUUCGGUAGGGGAGACUGGAAUUCCUGGUGUAGCGGUGAAAUGCGCAGAUAUCAGGAGGAACACCGGUGGCGAAGGCGGGUCUCUGGGCCGAUACUGACGCUGAGGAGCGAAAGCGUGGGGAGCGAACAGG
Molecule: ribosomal RNA, 253 nt
Filed under: uncultured bacterium
Lineage: Bacteria
Description: partial 16S ribosomal RNA
Rfam family: Bacterial small subunit ribosomal RNA
Source: RNAcentral